CAGCCGCCGCGGGAAUACCAGCACCUCGAGUGGUCAGGAGGUUUAUUGGGCCUAAAGCAUCCGUAGCCGGUUGCAUAAGUUUUCGGUUAAAUCUAUGCGCUUAACGUAUAGGCCGCCGAAAAUACUGUGCAGCUAGGGAGUGGGAGAGGUACACGGUACUCGAUAGGAAGGGGUAAAAUCCUUUGAUCUAUUGAUGACCACCUGUGGCGAAGGCGGUGUACCAGAACACGUUCGACGGUGAGGGAUGAAAGCUGGGGGAGCAAACCGGAUUAGAUACCCGAGUAGUCCCUGUCUCUUAUAC
RNAcentral lists this ribosomal RNA (301 nucleotides) under uncultured bacterium. RNAcentral describes it as "partial 16S ribosomal RNA". It matches the Rfam family "Archaeal small subunit ribosomal RNA", at positions 459 to 760 of the family's 1478-position model. The record is from RNAcentral.